AGGGAAACACAUUUCUUUUUGCGUUGAAGCUUGCAGCCGUAACAGGCAGCUGUUACAGCAGUAUACAGGGGAUAGGGUUUGUCUUCACGUCGGCUCAAAGAGGUUCAUAGGCCCUUCGUCAAUUCUUCGGAAGGAUUAUUUGAAAGGGGGAGAGACCUGGUUGUAUCGAAUCAUUGCUAAACGAUGCGCAACACAAUCCUCUUUGCAUUUCUUGUGCUGCACAUCUCCUGUUUGGCGUUCGCAUGGGACCCGGAAAUCUGCGCCGGCCCUGAACCCGAAGGUGAACCCUGUUUCGACGAAACUCCGAGAUAUUAUUACAGCUACAAGUACAACGCGUGCCGCCGUUUCUACCCAGGGUACUGCGCGGAUUCUCCCAGGCUCUUUGAUACCCUCGAAGAUUGCAAGGAACGUUGCAUGAGUCAGUCUUUGUUCGUGCUUCAGAUAUGAGUCCACGAGAGCUGUGCAAGCUCCCCCACACGAGAGGAAAAGAAUGCUAUCAGGCCAUCCGAAUGUAUUACUACAAUCCCAGACUGAGGCGUUGCGUGCAGUUCUACUAUGGUGGAUGUAACGGCACGCCAAACCGAUUCGUGACCAUCGAGAGGUGCCAAAAGUUCUGCGGACGAUGAAAACCUUCGGAGACGGUUCUGCAUCUCUUCCGAGAGAAUAUGGCAGAAGAAUAUAUUACAGAACACCCUUAUCGUGCAGUAAUGUAUUCAUGUAGGACAACAUAUGACUGUGACGCACAACGAAUAUUGAAUAAAGAAUACGAAUCACA
Molecule: RNA transcript, 775 nt
Organism: Ornithodoros turicata
Lineage: Eukaryota; Metazoa; Arthropoda; Arachnida; Ixodida; Argasidae
Gene name: BPTI/Kunitz domain-containing protein-like
Exons: 4
Source: RefSeq, a predicted model, not a curated record